RNAcentral lists this small nucleolar RNA (89 nucleotides) under Erinaceus europaeus (western European hedgehog). RNAcentral's name for it is "Small nucleolar RNA U3". It matches the Rfam family "Small nucleolar RNA U3", at positions 1 to 99 of the family's 219-position model. Rfam says of the family: Small nucleolar RNAs (snoRNAs) are involved in the processing and modification of rRNA in the nucleolus. There are two main classes of snoRNAs: the box C/D class, and the box H/ACA class. The record is from Rfam by way of RNAcentral. Lineage: Eukaryota; Metazoa; Chordata; Mammalia; Eulipotyphla; Erinaceidae.
AAGACUGUACUUUCAGGGAUCAUUUCUAUAGCAUGUUACUAGAAAAUGAACAUGUUGAGUUAAACACCUCAAUCAUGAGUACUUGUGAA